UACGAAGGGGGCUAGCGUUGUUCGGAUUUACUGGGCGUAAAGCGCGUGUAGGCGGAUCGUUCAGUCGGGGGUGAAAGCCCAGAGCUCAACUCUGGAAUUGCCUUCGAUACUGGCGGUCUGGAGCAGAGAAGAGGCGAGUGGAAUUACGCGUGUAGAGGGGAAAUUCGUAGAUAUUCGGAGGAACACCAGUGGCGAAGGCGGCUCGCUGGUCUCUUGCUGACGCUGAGACGCGAAAGCGUGGGGAGCAAACAGG
RNAcentral lists this ribosomal RNA (253 nucleotides) under uncultured bacterium. RNAcentral describes it as "partial 16S ribosomal RNA". It matches the Rfam family "Bacterial small subunit ribosomal RNA", at positions 524 to 776 of the family's 1533-position model. The record is from RNAcentral.